Molecule: transfer RNA, 57 nt
Filed under: Diaphorina citri (Asian citrus psyllid)
Lineage: Eukaryota; Metazoa; Arthropoda; Insecta; Hemiptera; Psyllidae
Rfam family: tRNA
About the family: Transfer RNA (tRNA) molecules are approximately 80 nucleotides in length.
Source: Rfam by way of RNAcentral
UGGUGUAGUGGUCACUGCGCUCGCCUUCCACGCGGGAGACCCGGGUUCGAUUCCCGG